GGUCAAGCGAAUAAGCGCACACGGUGGAUGCCUUGGCGGUCAGAGGCGAUGAAGGACGUGGCAGCCUGCGAAAAGUAUCGGGGAGCUGGCAACAAGCUUUGAU
RNAcentral lists this ribosomal RNA (103 nucleotides) under Nostoc sp. XA010. Its description in RNAcentral is "partial 23S ribosomal RNA". It matches the Rfam family "Bacterial large subunit ribosomal RNA", at positions 1 to 103 of the family's 2925-position model. RNAcentral also lists the same sequence under 1 other name. The record is from RNAcentral. Lineage: Bacteria; Bacillati; Cyanobacteriota; Cyanophyceae; Nostocales; Nostocaceae.